RNAcentral lists this ribosomal RNA (388 nucleotides) under Mytilus galloprovincialis (Mediterranean mussel). RNAcentral describes it as "partial 16S ribosomal RNA". It matches the Rfam family "Bacterial large subunit ribosomal RNA", at positions 1916 to 2551 of the family's 2925-position model. Lineage: Eukaryota; Metazoa; Mollusca; Bivalvia; Mytilida; Mytilidae. The record is from RNAcentral.
GUUUGUUGUAAAUGGCGGCGUUAACGUGAGCGUCCUAAGGUAGCGCGAUAAUUUGCUUUUUAAUUGAAGGAUGGUAUGAAAGGGUUAACGAAGAAGAUGCUGUAUCUAAAAAUUUAAUUUAAACUAAUUUUAAGGUGAAGAGGCCUUUAUGUGAAAGAAGGACGACAAGACCCUAUGAAGCUUUAUCUUAAUUGAAGGUCUUAGCCUUUUAUACGUUUUUGAUGGGAGAUCAGCAAAAAUAAGUCUUUUGCUAUAACAUUAAUCUUACUAGAAUUUACUAGUUUUAUAUGUGUGACUAGCUACUCUAGGGAUAACAGCGCAAUUUCCCCCGAAAGAUGGUAUUGGAGGGGAAGAUUGCGACCUCGAUGUUGGCUUUAGGUGUCCUAGA